CAGACCUAUAGGGGUGGGGCUACAGAUGCUCCCCAAAUCUGUGGCAGGCAUCCAGCGUGCAAGCCCAGGGCCCAGA
Molecule: long non-coding RNA, 76 nt
Organism: Gavialis gangeticus (Gharial)
Lineage: Eukaryota; Metazoa; Chordata; Crocodylia; Gavialidae
Exons: 3
Source: RefSeq, a predicted model, not a curated record